Molecule: ribosomal RNA, 492 nt
Filed under: uncultured bacterium
Lineage: Bacteria
Description: partial 16S ribosomal RNA
Rfam family: Bacterial small subunit ribosomal RNA
Source: RNAcentral
AGUGAACGCUGGCGGUAGGCCUAACACAUGCAAGUCGAACGGCAGCACAGUAAGAGCUUGCUCUUACGGGUGGCGAGUGGCGGACGGGUGAGGAAUACAUCGGAAUCUACUUUUUCGUGGGGGAUAACGUAGGGAAACUUACGCUAAUACCGCAUACGACCUACGGGUGAAAGCAGGGGAUCUUCGGACCUUGCGCGAUUGAAUGAGCCGAUGUCGGAUUAGCUAGUUGGCGGGGUAAAGGCCCACCAAGGCGACGAUCCGUAGCUGGUCUGAGAGGAUGAUCAGCCACACUGGAACUGAGACACGGUCCAGACGCCUACGGGAGGCAGCAGUGGGGAAUAUUGGACAAUGGGCGCAAGCCUGAUCCAGCCAUACCGCGUGGGUGAAGAAGGCCUUCGGGUUGUAAAGCCCUUUUGUUGGGAAAGAAAAGCAGCAGGUUAAUACCACGCUGUUCUGACGGUACCCAAAGAAUAAGCACCGGCUAACUUCGUG